CAUGUGGAAGUUGCUGUUGAC
Molecule: non-coding RNA, 21 nt
Filed under: Arabidopsis thaliana (thale cress)
Lineage: Eukaryota; Viridiplantae; Streptophyta; Magnoliopsida; Brassicales; Brassicaceae
Source: RNAcentral